Coffea arabica (coffee) is the source of this 729-nucleotide non-coding RNA. The record is from RefSeq and is a predicted model, not a curated record. Lineage: Eukaryota; Viridiplantae; Streptophyta; Magnoliopsida; Gentianales; Rubiaceae.
GAAAAUUGUCUUCAUAAACGGCCCUUCAACAUUACAGACAAUUUCAUUCACCAAAUCUAAACCCCAAUGCUCUUAUCAAUUUCUGCCCAAAUCUCAAGAUCAAGAUGCAAGGAACCGACUCCGACUUGCUACUGUGGGAUGAAAAUCAUUUUGAAGAAUCCGGGAUAUAAAGUCGGAUUAAUGAAAUAAAUUUCUCUACCUGUUCUAAUAUGCACCUGAGAGGGAGGGGAAUGCAAGCUAAUCCAAUCACAAUUUGAGCAUUUCACAUCUAAACUCCUAGAGGCUGAUGCACCCAUCAAACAGGGGUCAUUUCACAUGGAUUUCCCUGAACCAGAUCCAGAGGAUGCCAAGAUUGCUCGUACUAUAGAAAAAAAGUUCUAGAGAUUUGGGAAUCAAAAUGGACUUUCAAAUUCAUUACUCGACAUCAGGAUCAAUGCUAAAUGAACCAGAAGUCUAGCAUCAUCUGUUAGUAUAAGAAGCUUAACCGCUGUGGGAAUCCUUGUCGGAGGGUAUGAUCGGUGCGAGAUGGCAUAUGGGCAAAAAUAAAUGACUUAGCAAGAAACAAAGGAAGAGCGCCUUCACUGUAUAGAUAGAUUUUAAGGAGCCUCAACUUGCCUAUUUUGCAUUUGAAUUUUGCUGCAAGAUUGUCCAAGAAAGCUAAAGUUCAUGCAAUCUUUAUACUGGGAUGCUGCUGAGAAAAGGAAAUCAACCUAGGACUUGGUUGACUGA